GGGGGGGGGGGGGGGGGGCGGCAAGCCACCCUUGGUUUUACCGAUGUGUUUCUCCCUCCGGCCGCUAGGCGGCACAGUACAUAGAAUGUGGGUACGAGUCAGGAAGUCUCAAAUCCCACCUCAGGCCUUAUUCCUUGUGUGCUCCUGGACAAGUCACCGAACCCUGUCUGCCUCCGGUUCCUCGUCUGUAAAAUGAGCUGGAAAAGCAAGUGGCAAAACAGAGAUUUUUUACAGCGUUGGACAUGAUUGAAACUACUGAACAAUUCUCCCUCUAUAAAAUGAGGGAGUUGUGAUCUCUUGAACCCUUUCCGGGUCUGAAAUCCUACUUUUAAGGCCCCUGUGGGCGCCAGACUUCCCUUUGCCACUUCUCCCCCAAUGACCCCGCAAGGAGGUCCCACUGGCUGGGAUUCAGGCUUUCAACCCUGGCCCAGACUUCAUGGAGGAACAGAGAAUGGAACACAGAACAGGCUUGGAAGGGAUCAGAGACUCCCGCUCCAGACAGAAGGGAGAAUCGUGAAGCCACAAGCCUGAGAGCUUUUAAAUCUACUGCAGGAGAGAGGACCUGGGACAUCUAGGAAUCCUCCCUCCAGCCGCACAAUUCAAUAUACUCUAGUGGCCCCCUAUGUCCCUCUCUUGGGCAUCUUCACCAGCUGACUGGCUCUUCCUCUUUAAGUCAUCCAAUGAGCAGUUAGGUGGGAAAAUGGAUAGAACCUGGGCCAGAAGACCAGAAUUCAAAUCUGCCCUCAGAUAGGUACUAAGUUGUGGGACCCUGAGCAGGUCACUUCACCCUGUUUGCCUCAGUUUCCUCAUCUGUCAAAUGAGCUGGAGAAGGAAAUGGCAAACCAUUCCAGUAUCUCUGCCAAGAAAACCCAAAUGGGGCCACAAAGAAUGGGGCCCCACAAAACAACAAUAGUAGUCAUCCAGUGACUGGCCUCCUUACUUUUCCUCACUCAAGACACUCUGUCUCCUGAUUUAGGGUAUUUCCUCUGGCUGCCUCCAUGCCUAGGAUGCUCUCCCUCCUCAUCCCAGCCUCUUGGCCUCUCUAGUUUCCUUCUAAUCUCAACUAAAAUCCCACCAUCUACAAGAAGCCUUUCCUGAUCCCCCUUAAUGCUAGUGCCUGCCCUAUAAGAUUUGUCUCCAGUUUUUCCUGGAUCAGGAAGACCAGAAUUCAAAUCUGGUCUCAGAUACUUCCUAGCUAUGUGACCCUAGACAGGUCACUUCACUCUGUUUGCCUCCAUUUCCUCCUCUGAGAAAUGAGCUGGAGAAGGAAAUGGCAAACCCCUCCAGGAUCUUAGCCAAGGAAACCCCAAUUGGGGUCAGGAAGAGUGGGUCAGGACUGAAACCAGGGAAUAGCAUCUUGUUUGUCUCCCCUUAGUAGAUUGUGAGCUCCCUGAGGGCAGAGACUGUUCUUCUCUUUGUGCCCUCCAUUACUCAAUAAAUGCUCAACAACUUGAGAAGAGAUACCA
Molecule: long non-coding RNA, 1466 nt
Filed under: Monodelphis domestica (gray short-tailed opossum)
Lineage: Eukaryota; Metazoa; Chordata; Mammalia; Didelphimorphia; Didelphidae
Description: lncRNA (ENSMODG00000050279.1)
Source: RNAcentral